GGAGUACGACCGCAAGGUUGAAACUCAAAGGAAUUGACGGGGGCCCGCACAAGCGGAGGAACAUGUGGUUUAAUUCGAUGAUACGCGAGGAACCUUACCCGGGCUUGAAUUGCAGACUAAUGCGGCGGAGACGCCGCAGUCCUUCGGGAAGUCUGUGAAGGUGCUGCAUGGUUGUCGUCAGCUCGUGCCGUGAGGUGUCGGCUCAAGUGCCAUAACGAGCGCAACCCCUGUCUCCUGUUGCCAUCAGGUAAAGCUGGGCACACUGGAGAGACUGCCGCCGUAAGGUGCGAGGAAGGUGGGGAUGACGUCAAAUCAGCACGGCCCUUACGUCCGGGGCUACACACGUGUUACAAUGGUCGUUAACAGAGGGAAGCAAGGCCGCGAGGUGGAGCGAACCCCUAAAAACGAUCUCAGUUCAGAUUGCAGGCUGAAACUCGCCUGCAUGAAGAUGGAAUUGCUAGUAAUCGCGGAUCAGCAUGCCGCGGUGAAUACGUUCCCGGGCCUUGUACACACCGCCCGUCACACCAUGAGAGCCGGGGACACCCGAAGUCGGUUGGGUAACCGUAAGGAGCCCGCCGCCGAAGGUGGAAUCGGUAAUUGGGGUGAAGUCGUAACAAGGUAACCAAGCC
RNAcentral lists this ribosomal RNA (629 nucleotides) under uncultured bacterium. RNAcentral describes it as "bacterial SSU rRNA". It matches the Rfam family "Bacterial small subunit ribosomal RNA", at positions 877 to 1506 of the family's 1533-position model. The record is from RNAcentral.